This 774-nucleotide ribosomal RNA is filed under the name uncultured Neocallimastigales. RNAcentral describes it as "partial large subunit ribosomal RNA". It matches the Rfam family "Eukaryotic large subunit ribosomal RNA", at positions 26 to 633 of the family's 3401-position model. The record is from RNAcentral. Lineage: Eukaryota; Fungi; Neocallimastigomycota; Neocallimastigomycetes; Neocallimastigales.
CGCAUCUGUGCAUGCAGCAUAUCAAUAAGCGGAGGAAAAGAAACUAACAAGGAUUCCCCUAGUAACGGCGAGUGAAGCGGGAAGAGCUCAAAUUUGAAAUCUUAAAGGGUUUCCCUUUACAAAUUGUAGUUUAAAGAAGUGUUUUCUGUCGAGGUUUUGGUAAAAGUUCUUUGGAAUAGGACAUCAUAGAGGGUGAGAAUCCCGUAUUUGACCUUUACUUUCAACUUUGUGAUACACUUUCGAAGAGUCGGAUUGUUUGGGAAUGCAGUCCAAAAUGGGUGGUAAAUUUCAUCUAAAGCUAAAUAUUGGCGAGAGACCGAUAGCGAACAAGUACCGUGAGGGAAAGAUGAAAAGAACUUUGAAAAGAGAGUUAAACAGUACGUGAAAUUGUCAAAAGGGAAGCGUUUGACACCAGUGUUGUUUUUCUGAAAAUCAAUUAAAGAACUGUUUAUGCUAAGUUGUUUAGACUUUAUCAGCUAUCUGUUUAGUUUUAGGCUUUUCUUUAAUGCACUUUUCAGUUAACAAGUCAACAUCAAUUUCUUUUGCUGUAAAAAAGCUUGAGGAAGGUGGCUUGAGAUUCGUCUUAAGUGUUUAUAGCCUCUUGCCUAUGCAGUCGGAGAGAUUGAGGUCUGCAGCGUAGAUCCUUCGGGGCUAAAUGCAUUUGUGCUAAGUUAUAACAUUUUAUAGACAACUUGUUGACUAUGAUUUGUCUUGUAGCUUACUCGCUUAUGUUAUUUUACCUACGCUUAGGAUGUUGAACGCGCACAGAGUCUC